AUGACAGACUCUGGACAUGACUGUUCGCUUAAGGAGCUCCUUCUCCUCCUCAGCCAUGCACUGCUGUGCGCUCAAGGCCGUGCGUCAGAGCACUCGUCGACGCUCCCACCCCAUCUUCCAGCGGCCCUGCCGGAACCCGUGCUCAUCCAGGAGGCAUCUCGAGGACGUGUCGUGGAGCUGCUGUGUCGCACUCCUUCGGGUUACGCAGGGAUCCUCUUCAAGCUCUACAGAGAGCGGGAUUUGGUGAACAGCACCGAGUUCGGCCAGGACGCCCGAGAAGCCCGCUUUAGCGUGGUGAGGGAGCGCGGAGCACGGUGGAAACCCUACUGCUGCCUGUAUCAGAACAGCGACGGUGUGUACAGUGCCUUCAGUUCGUACCUGGAGCCGAGGGAUUCAACAGUGCCGUUGCCUGCGCCCACCCUCUCCUUUGCACGUCAGGACCCCGCGGACAGAGUCUUGCUGUGCGAGGGGUCGCCUUCCUAUCCUGGGGCUGAGUUCUUGCUCCUCCAGUUGGGCUCCUCACACCCCUUGGAGAGACAAACUGCUCCCCCGAUGCUCCACAGUGCCAGCUUUUUGGUGCCGGCUGACCACCAAUAUCUGAACGAGUACCAGUGUCAGUACAGUGUGCUCCUGGACCAACGCCGGAGGGAGUCGGAGCGCAGCCCUCCCCUCGCUGUUCCUAUUUUCACAAAAACUGCCAUGAAUACUUCGACAGCUGCUCAACCUCCAGCCGAAGAACACACAGCACCGACAGACUGGCCAAUGAUCAUGGGCUCCAUAUCGGCAGUCGUCCUGGUCAUGGUGGUGCUGACAGCCCUGGGGUUCGUGGUCCGCUGGAAAGUCAAAGCGCUGGUGGCAGAGAGACAGAAAAGGGAAGAGGCCCGUUUCUGGCAUAAUUUUCACGCCAUGGACCACGUUGUCGACCUAACCCUCAGAAGAGUCAGUGUUGGGUCUCAGGAAUGGGAUCCAGUCAAGGACGAAAAAGGAAGCAGAACCACGGGAAAGUGCAGCUCUUCCUCUUCCGACCCUCAUUUCUACACGUUUCGGAACUCGAUGCUUCGCUGAAAGCAGUGCCUUCGCCCCGGACAGAUCUCCGUACCCGUAUCUGUUUUUAGGGUUGUUUUUACACCUUUCUCACUCAUCGCUGAGACCCAGUAGGUGUGAUGCUCAGAGGACUAAUUUACAUUUUUUCUACAUUUUACCGCAACUGGGUCUGAUGCAUUUAUGUUUUCUUAAAAACUUGGUUCCACUUUUUUUUUUUUUUUUGCUCUGUCUUGCGCAACACCUAUUUCCUUAAACCUUUUAUACCCAUGGACACAAAUACAGCACAGGUUAAUAAUAAAAGUUAUAUUUAUUGCA
Molecule: long non-coding RNA, 1359 nt
Filed under: Scleropages formosus (Asian bonytongue)
Lineage: Eukaryota; Metazoa; Chordata; Actinopteri; Osteoglossiformes; Osteoglossidae
Description: lncRNA (ENSSFOG00015026594.1)
Source: RNAcentral